RNAcentral lists this ribosomal RNA (2891 nucleotides) under Vibrio parahaemolyticus. RNAcentral's name for it is "23S ribosomal RNA". It matches the Rfam family "Bacterial large subunit ribosomal RNA". Lineage: Bacteria; Pseudomonadati; Pseudomonadota; Gammaproteobacteria; Vibrionales; Vibrionaceae. The record is from RNAcentral.
GGUUAAGUGACUAAGCGUACACGGUGGAUGCCUUGGCAGUCAGAGGCGAUGAAAGACGUAGUAACUUGCGAUAAGCCCAGAUUAGGUAGUAACAACCAUUUGAGUCUGGGAUUUCUGAAUGGGGAAACCCACGUGCAUAAGCACGUAUCCUUACCUGAAUACAUAGGGUAAGGAGGCGAACCGGGGGAACUGAAACAUCUAAGUACCCCGAGGAAAAGAAAUCAACCGAGAUUCCGAAAGUAGCGGCGAGCGAAAUUGGACUAGCCCUUAAGCUUUACACGCGUUAGACGAACGGUCUGGAAAGUCCGACGAUACAGGGUGAUAGUCCCGUAGUUGACGACGUGUGUUCAGUGAAAUCGAGUAGGGCGGGACACGUGAUAUCCUGUCUGAAUAUGGGGGGACCAUCCUCCAAGGCUAAAUACUACUGACUGACCGAUAGUGAACCAGUACCGUGAGGGAAAGGCGAAAAGAACCCCUGUGAGGGGAGUGAAAUAGAACCUGAAACCGUGUACGUACAAGCAGUAGGAGCAGGCUUUGUCCUGUGACUGCGUACCUUUUGUAUAAUGGGUCAGCGACUUAUAUUCAGUGGCAAGGUUAACCAUCUAGGGGAGCCGUAGGGAAACCGAGUCUUAACUGGGCGUUCAGUCUCUGGAUAUAGACCCGAAACCAGGUGAUCUAGCCAUGGGCAGGUUGAAGGUUGAGUAACAUCAACUGGAGGACCGAACCGACUAAUGUUGAAAAAUUAGCGGAUGACUUGUGGCUAGGGGUGAAAGGCCAAUCAAACCUGGAGAUAGCUGGUUCUCCCCGAAAGCUAUUUAGGUAGCGCCUCGGACGAAUACUACUGGGGGUAGAGCACUGUUAAGGCUAGGGGGUCAUCCCGACUUACCAACCCUUUGCAAACUCCGAAUACCAGUAAGUACUAUCCGGGAGACACACGGCGGGUGCUAACGUCCGUCGUGGAGAGGGAAACAACCCAGACCGCCAGCUAAGGUCCCAAAUUACUACUAAGUGGGAAACGAUGUGGGAAGGCUCAGACAGCCAGGAUGUUGGCUUAGAAGCAGCCAUCAUUUAAAGAAAGCGUAAUAGCUCACUGGUCGAGUCGGCCUGCGCGGAAGAUGUAACGGGGCUAAGUAGUAAACCGAAGCUGCGGCAAUAUACUUUUGUAUAUUGGGUAGGGGAGCGUUCUGUAAGCGGUUGAAGGUGUGUGGUAACGCAUGCUGGACGUAUCAGAAGUGCGAAUGCUGACAUGAGUAACGAUAAAGGGGGUGAAAAACCUCCUCGCCGGAAGACCAAGGGUUCCUGUCCAACGUUAAUCGGGGCAGGGUAAGUCGACCCCUAAGGCGAGGCCGAAAGGCGUAGUCGAUGGGAAACGGGUUAAUAUUCCCGUACUUCUUACAAUUGCGAUGGGGGGACGGAGAAGGCUAGGUGGGCCUGGCGACGGUUGUCCAGGUUCAAGUGCGUAGGCUUGAGAGUUAGGUAAAUCCGGCUCUCUCUAAGGCUGAGACACGACGUCGAGCAUCUACGGAUGUGAAGUCAUUGAUGCCAUGCUUCCAGGAAAAGCCUCUAAGCUUCAGAUUGUAAGGAAUCGUACCCCAAACCGACACAGGUGGUCGGGUAGAGAAUACCAAGGCGCUUGAGAGAACUCGGGUGAAGGAACUAGGCAAAAUGGUACCGUAACUUCGGGAGAAGGUACGCUCUCGACGGUGAAGUCCCUCGCGGAUGGAGCUAUUGAGAGUCGCAGAUACCAGGUGGCUGCAACUGUUUAUUAAAAACACAGCACUGUGCAAAAUCGUAAGAUGACGUAUACGGUGUGACGCCUGCCCGGUGCCGGAAGGUUAAUUGAUGGGGUUAGACUUCGGUCGAAGCUCUUGAUCGAAGCCCCGGUAAACGGCGGCCGUAACUAUAACGGUCCUAAGGUAGCGAAAUUCCUUGUCGGGUAAGUUCCGACCUGCACGAAUGGCGUAAUGAUGGCCACGCUGUCUCCACCCGAGACUCAGUGAAAUUGAAAUCGCUGUGAAGAUGCAGUGUACCCGCGGCUAGACGGAAAGACCCCGUGAACCUUUACUACAGCUUGGCACUGAACAUUGACCCUACAUGUGUAGGAUAGGUGGGAGGCUUUGAAGCACGUACGCCAGUAUGUGUGGAGCCGUCCUUGAAAUACCACCCUUGUAGUGUUGAUGUUCUAACGUCGACCCCUUAUCGGGGUUGCGGACAGUGCCUGGUGGGUAGUUUGACUGGGGCGGUCUCCUCCCAAAGAGUAACGGAGGAGCACGAAGGUGGGCUAAUCACGGUUGGACAUCGUGAGGUUAGUGCAAUGGCAUAAGCCCGCUUGACUGCGAGAAUGACAAUUCGAGCAGGUGCGAAAGCAGGUCAUAGUGAUCCGGUGGUUCUGAAUGGAAGGGCCAUCGCUCAACGGAUAAAAGGUACUCCGGGGAUAACAGGCUGAUACCGCCCAAGAGUUCAUAUCGACGGCGGUGUUUGGCACCUCGAUGUCGGCUCAUCACAUCCUGGGGCUGAAGUCGGUCCCAAGGGUAUGGCUGUUCGCCAUUUAAAGUGGUACGCGAGCUGGGUUUAGAACGUCGUGAGACAGUUCGGUCCCUAUCUGCCGUGGGCGUUGGAAGAUUGAAGGGGGCUGCUCCUAGUACGAGAGGACCGGAGUGGACGAACCUCUGGUGUUCGGGUUGUGUCGCCAGACGCAUUGCCCGGUAGCUAAGUUCGGAAUCGAUAACCGCUGAAAGCAUCUAAGCGGGAAGCGAGCCCUGAGAUGAGUCUUCCCUGAUACUUUAAGUAUCCUAAAGGGUUGUCGGAGACUACGACGUUGAUAGGUCAGGUGUGUAAGUGCUGUGAGGCAUUGAGCUAACUGAUACUAAUUGCCCGUGAGGCUUAACCAU